Molecule: ribosomal RNA, 468 nt
Filed under: uncultured bacterium
Lineage: Bacteria
Description: partial 16S ribosomal RNA
Rfam family: Bacterial small subunit ribosomal RNA
Source: RNAcentral
GACGAACGCUGGCGGCGUGCUUAACACAUGCAAGUCGAACGGAAAGGCCCUGCUUUUGUGGGUUGCUCGAGUGGCGAACGGGUGAGUAACACGUGAGUAACCUGCCCUUGACUUUGGGAUAACUUCAGGAAACUGGGGCUAAUACCGGAUAUGAUCUCCUGCUGCAUGGUGGGGGUUGGAAAGUUUCGGCGGUUGGGGAUGGACUCGCGGCUUAUCAGCUUGUUGGUGGGGUAGUGGCUUACCAAGGCUUUGACGGGUAGCCGGCCUGAGAGGGUGACCGGCCACAUGGGGACUGAGAGACGGCCCAGACGCCUACGGGAGGCAGCAGUGGGGAAUAUUGCACAAUGGGCGGAAGCCUGAUGCAGAAACGCCGCGUGCGGGAUGACGGCCUUCGGGUUGUAAACCGCUUUCGCCUGUGACGAAGCGUGAGUGACGGUAAUGGGUAAAGAAGCACCGGCUAACUACGUG